GAAAAUGACGAUCACAUUGAUAAUUUUUUCUUCCUUUCCCUUUUUUUCCUUUCUUGCAAUUAAGCAAGAGUGUACAUGGUCACAUAAAGUUAGGAAGAUGUAACAUUUCUAGCCAGCUAUCUACAUCAUUCAAUGAGAAAAACAAGUCUGGCCCUUCAAUGUGGUAGAAGAAGACAUGUGCGACCUACAAAUAACCCAUGAUUUGGUUAAGAUUCAUGUCACUCAGCAGGGAUAUAAAGAGGAAAUUGGAGGUUGAUGCGGGAGAUAUUUGAUUAUGGCCUUUGGAGAAAGAACGUUGAUAUGAAAAUGAUGUUUAAGAACACAAAAGCAUAAUUGAUGGCAGAAAUAGACAAGUCUAGUACUUUGUGUUUAUUAGCACCAGAAAAUCUUGAUAAGGUUGCGGCCUUGCAGGAUCCUUAUAAUAGAGAAAGUCUUGUCUCCACAUUUUAAGUUUUCU
This 457-nucleotide long non-coding RNA is filed under the name Glycine max (soybean). Its description in RNAcentral is "long non-coding RNA (GMAX_LNC000670)". The record is from RNAcentral. Lineage: Eukaryota; Viridiplantae; Streptophyta; Magnoliopsida; Fabales; Fabaceae.